UACGUAGGUCCCGAGCGUUGUCCGGAUUUAUUGGGCGUAAAGCGAGCGCAGGUGGUUUAUUAAGUCUGGUGUAAAAGGCAGUGGCUCAACCAUUGUAUGCAUUGGAAACUGGUAGACUUGAGUGCAGGAGAGGAGAGUGGAAUUCCACGUGUAGCGGUGAAAUGCGUAGAUAUAUGGAGGAACACCGGUGGCGAAAGCGGCUCUCUGGCCUGUAACUGACACUGAGGCUCGAAAGCGUGGGGAGCAAACAGG
This 252-nucleotide ribosomal RNA is filed under the name uncultured bacterium. RNAcentral describes it as "partial 16S ribosomal RNA". It matches the Rfam family "Bacterial small subunit ribosomal RNA", at positions 524 to 776 of the family's 1533-position model. The record is from RNAcentral.